GAAUGGUCUCUCUAUGCCCGGCUUCUUUUCACACGCGGACACGCGCACACGCGCGCUCCGGAGGCGAAGAUUUAAUACCCGGGUAACAGCCGCCACCAACCGACCGGUGGGCCUCCCUCCUUCCACAGGACAAGAGUCCCGCGGCCGCUGCGUCCAUUUCCCCAUCCUAGCGGCCCCACAGCAGCGAUGCAACCCAUUUUUCCCAUGGUGACUCACUAAUAAGGACACUCCGUAAUUCCCUCACUCACUAGGUCCUUGCGCUUACGGGGCAGGCGGUGGAACCAGUGAGCUAAAUCCCCAGCCCACAGCCUAAAGUUUCUUAAUGAGAAGGCACUGGAACCACUGAGCUAAAUCCCCGGCCCUCUUUCUGUAUUUUCAAUAGAAAAGAAAAGAAAAAACAAAGAGGAGGAAAAAACCAAGUAGGUAACCCACUCCGUUAUUCUCUUAUUUUUAACAAUAAUUGAUGUCAUUGAAAAAGAUCAA
This 483-nucleotide long non-coding RNA is filed under the name Heterocephalus glaber (naked mole-rat). RNAcentral describes it as "lncRNA (ENSHGLG00100035876.1)". The record is from RNAcentral. Lineage: Eukaryota; Metazoa; Chordata; Mammalia; Rodentia; Bathyergidae.